RNAcentral lists this long non-coding RNA (3213 nucleotides) under Mus musculus (house mouse). RNAcentral describes it as "long non-coding RNA chr4:100534974-100538187". The record is from RNAcentral. Lineage: Eukaryota; Metazoa; Chordata; Mammalia; Rodentia; Muridae.
AGAGGUCUGGAGUCGCUCAUGCGGUCAGACACUAUUUCAAUAUAUGUAAAUGCUUCUAGCGCCUACCACACAGACAUGCAUGCCAUAAGACUUGCUAUUGUGCUUUCCUUCUGCUUCUUCACUGGCUUGUGUUCCUUUCACAGAUGGAAAACCUUCCCUUGGAACUGGCAGGGGGAGGGGUCAGGCAGACCUUGAUGGGGUUCUUACCCUCUCAGAAUGUGCUGCUCUGGGCAUAACACCACCUUCCUUGCAAAGGCUGUUUUCCAUUGAGUCUUUGAAUGAUACCACAUAUUUAAAAGUUUAGCAUAUGAACAUUCAAAAAACAUUAGCUCCUGAGGAGUGGGGAAUAUCCACCCUCCCCCCCCCAGCCUCCUCCCCGCUUUCCACAGAAUGAAAAUAAUCUCUGGCAGAAAUAUGUAAGAAAUGUAAAUGUAUCUCAAGUUAGAAAAUAACAUAUAGCUGACCACAUGUAUCUAGGACCAUUAUGUCUGCAGUUUCCCCUCUCUACUCCACUUCUCUUCAGCCUGCACAGCAUCCCACAAGGGUGGCGUGAAUCCAGCUGACAUCUCUCCAUAGGAAACUGUCCCUUACAUGCUCGGAUGUCUCAGCUCCCCAUCACCUGUCUGAUAGUGUACUGAUUCUGUCUCUGUUGGGGCCCUUGCUAUUCAGACAUUGUUAUAAGGAAGUACCCAGAAUUGGGGCAUUGGAAUAAGCAUCCCUGCCGCACAGCAUGUAGUAGGUACUCAGUUAAUUUUGUUGAAAAAAAUGCAUAUGUAUCUUGUCUCACCAUUUAAUAUUAGAAUUAAAUAAAAUUAAUUGUAGAAAAAAACUGAAAUUUAAGAUCUGUCAUGUAGAUAGAAACCAUGGUUCUGUUAGGGGAGUUCUAGGGUAUAAUCUAUAAACAGAGUUUUAAAACUGAAAAUAUGCCUGUCAUAAAUAUUUUAUGCAAAUUCUAAACUCUUACAUGUAUUUUGGUUAGUUAAUAUAUACUCAUUAUCGCAAUCAGCUCAUAAAUAUUCACUAAUUAAUCAUGUAAUUUGGUGUUCAUUUCUAAAGCCUUUUUAAAAACACUACCUUGACAGUUCAUUUAAAUAUUCAUAAAUGCUUUAUUUCUAAGACAUGGAAAAGAAAAUGAAUCUAACAUCCAAUCUGUGGUUUGUACUUAUUUUCUCAAGAGAAAUAGUGAAUGCAUAAAAUCAAUAGUAACAAAGACUGUUCUUUAGAGUGUUCUUGUUAUGCACGUGUAACACUGCUGUAUGCUCCAGUGAAUGAGUGCCACUGUAUCAUUACAAUGCAUCUAGCAACAGAAACAAUCCCUAUGCAGAGUCUAAGCUCUGACAGCCAGCAAGUUAUCUAAGUUAUUAAUUCUGGUAGAGUUUUACCUUCAGCAUAUAGUCUCUUAAAAGGAUGUUGUUCCUCUGCACACACAGCAGAUUGCUACAGACUGAAUCUUUCCUGUUCCCCAAAGAUCAUGAGUCCCACUUGGUUUUUGGUCAACAUGAUACCAACUAGAGUCAUCUGGGAAGAGAAACUUCCAUUGGGAAAAUGCCCCCAUCAGGUUGCCCGUCAGUACGUCCUUGAUAGCUAAUUAUUAGAAGAGGGCCUGCAGGGAUGGUACCAACCCUGGGCAGGUGGCACCAACCCUGGGCAGGUGGCACCAACCCUGGGCAGGUGGCCCUGGGUGAAAAAACAAAGCAGCUUGGCAAUUCCGGAAGCAGUGUUCCUUCAUGGCUUGUUCCUUCAUGUUCCUUCAGUUUGUCUCCAGGUUCCUGCCCUGAGUUCCUGCUUUCCCUUCUCCUGAUGAUAGACUGUAACUUGUAAGCCAAACAAACCCUCUCCUCUGCAGGUUGCUUUUGGUCAUGGUAUUUUACCACAGCAACAGUAAAGCAACCAGUAGACCAAGCUACGGGCAUGGUCUGUGGUGCUACCAGGAGUUGGUGGGAUCUUCAGGAGGUAGGGUCUUGUAAAGGGAAGUUACAUCAUUGAGGCAUGCUUUUGGGGGAGCACUGAUACCCCAGUCCAUCCUUCUUUUUGUUCUCUGACCACCAUGAAGUAUGAAGCUUUGCUUUAUUAUUAUAAUGCCCCGCCUUGUCAAAGACUCAAAGUGAUGGGACCCACCAACCAUAGACUGAAAUCACGACCCACAAAAAAACCUUUUUUUCUUUUUAGGUUGAUAAUCUCAGGUGAUUUGUUCCAGCGACAUAAGCUAAGAAAGAGGUAUAGAAGGGGCAGGAAGUAGCUUGGGGGAUUACUGUUCACUCACUAGGCACGCCCCCCUCAUGCCCAACGUUGUAUCGGAGUUGGCAGGCAGAGCUCAAGUGUAGCACACAAAGAUGCAUCAGCAUCCUACAGAGCCACAGCUGACACGCUCCACAUCCAUCACCCAGUGAUCACCCAGUGCACAGCAUCCAGCCCAGGCUCCUCACCUCCACUGUCACCUGAGUCACCAGUUCAAGAGCUUUCUCUAAUUUACCAGUUUUUUAAAAAAUAAGGCACAGAGAUCAAUCAAAUUGUGUUUAUAAGUACAAACCUUAUUUGAAAUUUAAAACAUGUACUUCCUAAAGAUAUAAAGUUUCAGUAAGUAUACAUACCCUGACUGUGUACAGGCAAGAGCAAAUUACGUCCACCAUUAAGGAAAGGGACUGCAUGUGUGUACCAACUUCAGCAUUUACUCUUCAUCUCACUGGAGUCUAUUGAAAAGGAGGUGAAUACCUGUAGAGGGUCAAAUAUCACUGUAAACCUUUCUUGUAUUUACAGAGCCCACUCUGGACUCAGCCGUCUUGUAUUUUGAUUUAUGGAGUUAGUAUGUAUUAUGCUUACAUAUGAUUUUAACUGGUUGUGGUUUUUUCUUGUCUUUUCUUUUUUUUUUUUAUUUUUUAUUUUUUGGUUGUCUGUAUUUAAACACAUAAAACACAAAUCAUCUUUCUCUUGGAAUAGCUGAUUCCCUUUCCCUCCAGUUACAUAGAAACACAUUCAUUUAACACACUUCAUGUAUGUUUGUGCUGUCCUUUCAGAGUGAUUUGGUUUAAAUAUCAUUCUUGCCGGUUUACGUAAUUACAGAGAUGUAUUUUUAAGAAAAAGCAAGCCUUUUUAUUCCCCAAAGAUUAGCCCUCGAGUGCCAUCUUGUGGUUAAAGAGAGAAUUGGCAUCAGUGCUGACAAAUGCUUACAUUCUAAAAUGUAGAUAAGGAAAAAAAAAUAGAAUCAAGAAAAAG